CAGCCACAGCAGCUGUAAAACGAGGUGGAAAUACAGGGCCUGACAGAAAGGCGGAGGAUGCCUUUCGGCAGAGCUUUCUCGAGCAAGACAGGAGCGGAGACAUUUCAGACAAAAACAUCCCUUCCUUAUUGCCCCUCUGCGAACCCCGGGACAGCUGCAACAGGGCAAACGCCGGCAGCCGCCCGUGCCCACAGAAAGAUUUUCUAGAUGGGUUGCCUCAUGAGAAAAGAGUCAAAGAUGAUGACAGUUCUAGGCAAAACUCUUGAAUCAUUUAGUCCAGCUUUCUGAAUUGGGCAAAACACCUUGCUGUGUAUUUACACUUGACUUUGAAUUAACUCUUGGAUGUUUGCAACAACAGCAUCUCAGCAGUCAGGGAGACCUUGUGAAGCUGUUUCCCUUCACUUAGUAGCCUAUCGUAAGACUUUUUAAAAUUAAUCUAUAAAUUUUGUUGGUUUUUUUUUUUUUCCCUGGCAGCUUCUAAUCAGUAUGAAACGUGAAGAUGCCCUUUCUUCUAAUCAGUAAUGUAUUUCAUUGUAUAUAAAUUGUAUUUUCAUAUGCUUAUCCCAGAUAAAAGUAUAAGAAACAAUAUGUAUAUUGUCUCUGGAAGGGGCAGAGUCUCUAUAGAAUAAUAUUACUUCUGUUGCCUUUUUAAGGGGCUCUGAUCUGGUGGUAUCCAGGAAAAUAAUUCUUGCUUCUGUGACUUCUUUUCCUCCAUGUCUUCCCUUUAAAGUAAACCAAACCAAAUUCUGUAGGACCACUGGGAAAUUCUUUGAGAGGAAGGCUGCAAUAUGCAUCUGUGCCAGCCAAACGGCUUUCUAAUUCCCGGUUUCAUUUCCUGAAGGCGCCUAAGUAGGACUGAGCUGCUGGAUGUCUGAACUUCUCCCUGCUGUAUGUAUUUUAUCUAUUAUCUCAGACACAGUUCAGAAGACUAUAUACUGUAUAAAAAAGCAUACAGAAGUUGUGACCAACCACACAUAGCCUGUACUCCAAAAUGACAUAAAGAAGGCUGGUUUUGAGAAGAGGGCCUAAGGAUGGGCAAGGGGAGGGAAAUACUUUGCGCGAAGCAGAAGUCUGUGAGACGGCGUUCUGCAUAAACCUGCCCGUCUGGUUUCAAGAUGUGUCUCAUAGGGCAGUUUUACUAUCCCCAGCAUAGCUACUGAUGCUUGUCCCGAAGAAAGAUAAUCCAUUAUGACCUGUCCUGCCUAAAUAUCUACAACCCCUUUCUGGAUUUAGUGAAAAACCCUCCUUACCAGCCAACCUUCAAGUGUAUCUCUGCAGAAGGACGUAAAACCCAGCAGGACUCCCUUAUCACAUGGCAUUAACUGAUGUGAUGCUGUCAUUUUCGAUAUGUGUGACUUCUUGCCUCCAACCCCCAUGCUGAGGUCUCGUGUUCCUUUUUUCCCCAGGGUCAUGUCGUACACAGAGUCCCCACUGUGGCUUUGCUCUGCUGGGUCAAGGGAAACAUGAGAUGACAAUUUUUACACUUUCCUAUUAAUGGUUAAAUUUGGAGAAGGAAAAACAAGAGGUGUUUGUGGAUUUCAUCUUCAAGAUUGAUUUUAUAAAUCAGGAUAAAAUGUAAAGACGGACCCUCCUCAGGGCUUUUGACCUCCUGUACCUUUAAGAGAGUGGUAGCGGGAUGGCAUCUAACAGGCUCUGUAGCUGUCCCAGAUUUUAACUGUUUUCUUCUGAAUAGCAAGUAUGUGAUUCAAAGAGUGCCUGGCAAAAGCUUCUUGUAUUUUUGCAGUAGCAGCAUUGGAAAUAUUUCAUGCAUAUAUAAGAUCCAGCAUCCACGUAGACUGUUGUUGUUUUCUGCAACUUUUUGUAAGUUUGGGGAAAACUUAAUAAGUACUGUUUCUCUUUCUUUCUUUCUUUAAAAAAGACAGGGAGAGAAAGCCUGCAUUUUCUGCCAUUUCCCAAGAGGCUUUUUAUCUGUUUAAACCAACUAGGGAUUUUUCACAUAUUGACAUAAGCAUUCAUUUGCUAAUUUGCUGGACAUUAAACUGCACAGCAUUCUUGAAUGAGACUGGAAUACUUGGGUACUUAGUGCUGCUCAGACCCCGCAUCAUUCCCAGUACACAUAUGGUUUUCCUCCUCUAUCUCCUAGAUAAAAGUCACUGUUUGAUCGCCUUAAGGAAAAGAAUGAGUUAAAUGGACCAAUAUUCUAGCCUUGGCUCUAAAACUGGGCCUUUUCAGAAACUCCUCAGCACCUGCAGCAGCUAGGUCAUUUGCACAUACAUAAAUAAAUAAAUUAACAAUGAAUAAAUAAUUUAAUCCCACCACACAAUGCCACCUUGCAGAUCUGAUCCUUUGCUCCCAGUGAAUUUGUCCAUUCCUAAUUCUUUUUGAUAAAGUCCUCAGAUACUUGCUGACUGUCAGUCUAAUUUUCUUAUUGUUUUCGCUUGAUUAGUUCUGUAUGACCUAAGGUCGCCCUUAAAAUCCACAUCUCUCGUGAAGACUCCGAAAGGCCUUCUUUUUUUCAAAGGGAUGGAAAGUGCCUGCCAUUUCUCCGGACAAAAGCCUGGAAGGUUUUCAGUUAUUAGCCUCCUGAAGCAGCCCUUUCGCUCACCCAAGCGCAAAAAAAACUCAUUAGGGGGCACCUUUCUUUCUGGCUUCUUUAACUGACGCAUGUAGGGUUUACGUGUUUCAAGAUUUGCAGGUCUUGGAUGAAUUUGGACAGCCUCCCUUUUAACCCUGCCGGCCUGCAGUUAUGCCCACCACAGAUACUCGCCGUAGCUCAGUGCCCUUAACCACCUGGAGAUGCUUCGUCUUUUUAAAAGCCGCUUUACACCCCGCUUCGUGGUGAACAGAAGUCACGUCAGCGUGCUGCUGCACUCCGAAGCCACGCUCCCGCGGGGUGUGGGUGGAAAGGCAGGCAAGGCUGCCAGCUGCCGACAGGCUCCACGUUUUGCACUUUGCGAUUAAAAUAGGAAAUCAAAGUUAGUGUCUCGGUCACGCAACCCUUAUUACCGUCGGAGGGAUUUGCAAGACUAAGGCAGUACAGCCCUGAGAGCCUGCCGUGGCUGGGCGGCAUUAUGCCCUGGCCUGCUUAUUCUCUUUCAGGCAGCAAGGUAAUUACUCUUCUCAUAUAGGCUGAGUUGCCUUCCUGAGCCAUGCCAGGUGGGCUAGAGAGACUCCCUAAAGAUGUGUCUUCACACACAUCGUAUCUGGCCAUCUUGCCCUUCGGAGGGAAUGUGCAAAGUUGCUGGCUUCUGCAUUCGCUUGGGCUGGCAGAGGUUGUAGAUCAGGACAGCACCUGAUCUGCCGUACUUAAACAGUGCUGCCCAGCAAUGCCAUACCUGUGGUUACCUUUUAAGAAGAGAAACAGCCUGAAAUUGUACUGACAGGUAUUACAGUAAGGAGUGUUUCUCGCUUACCUAGGCUCUGGUAUAUUUGUGAAAGAGAGACAUCAUGUGAUUGAAGAGAGGUAGGAGCAAACCAAUUAUGUUUUCUCUUUCAGAAAAGGGCUGCCUAGUCUCUUUGAAGAGAGACCUCAGUUCAGGCUGGGAUCUGAGCCUAAAGAGGAGAAAGAUGUGCAGAAACAGAAGGAAAAUAAGCAGGUCCAAAAAGUGUAGGUGGAAGAUAUCCUAGGCAGGUAUAGAAAAAUAGGUGUCUUGCUCCUGCAACACUGCUUCUCUUUGUCCUGAAGGGCAGCUUGUCUUCCACUGGGCUAGAACUGACUAUGAUCCUUCUGGGUUAAAAUUUGGUAGGGAAGCUCAAGGCUGUAGCUGAGGUCCUACUUCCAAGCAUGCAUAUUUGUGACCACUAAUUUUGGUCCCCGGCUGUUUUUAGGUAUAUUGUCCUUGUUAGGUUGGAAGAAUGCACCAUUAUGACCACUGGUUCUUUUCCUAACUUGCCAGUUCCUCCGAAAUCCCCACAAUACCAACACUUUACCUCAAUGUGGUUUUCCUCUGAAAUCUGAGUGAAACAGCCCUCAGUUAAGUAAAGCGCGUCAAGUGCAUAAAGCUGAGCCUAUGUGCAAAUCCUUGCAGGGUCGGCACUGCAAACUGCAUUACUCUUUCUGCUGGUAUAAAUGCUGAGCAGUGAUUGGUUGGAUAUAGCGUAAAAUAAUGCGGAAGCUAUGUGGUCUACUCCAUAAUACAAAGUAAUAGUUACAUUAUGGUCUGAAGAAUAGCAGAAACAACAAGAAAUGAGAAACGAGGGGAAUUUUGGACUGCAACCUGGCAGUAACGUGGUGUUUAAUCUUGACUUGUGAUCCUCUGUCAGUAGGGUCCUGCUCCGUGUUUCUAAUCUGCCGACUGAGUAGCUGUCAAAAUUCAUUCCACUCUUUGUAACCUGGGUAAUCUCAUCUCCCAGAAAACUUCAGGACUACAGUGGAUCUUGGAGCACAUCGUUGGGACCACAUAGAAAUUGUGAUGUUGUGAUACAUCAAUUUUGUAGAGGCUGCUGAAGGCACAAGGAGACAAAUCACAAGGAGAAAUUGUAUCAACAUGAUAACAGGCAGAGUCAUGUUUAUAACUUUGCAUCAGUUUCCUUCCCUGCUUCAAGCUAUGCAGGGGUAUCAAAAGCUUCCUGAAUAAACACUACCCAGCAAUAGAGGAUGGGUUGGAAGAUUUAGAUGAAAUUAACUCCUGGUGUCUCACUCAGGAGAUCAUGUAUCUUCUGCUGAUGAGGUAAGACAUACGACCUUGGAAAUCACAGUAAAAAUAAGGUAGAACCAUUGUGGAUGGUGAUGUCCCUGGAGAUCCACUCAUUAUCCCUCAUUCAGAGGAUUUUCUAUCUGAGCAAGCAUCAUUUUAGCAGUCUGAUGUCCGUUGGCAUAAAACUAUAAUCCUUAGAAAAAUUUCUGAAGACAUCAAUGACUUUGCUGGGAGUUUGCUGGUUAAGUACGCAGUUAUUUGGCUAAUAAUAGGAAUAACUUCCUAUUUUUCUUCAAAAUAGUCAUUAUCUAUUGUUGUUGCUCAUUUUAGUGCCAUUACAUUUUGUCUUUUGGUGUUUUGAGGGAAGGUUUGACAUCCAGUCUGAAAUAGCAAGUGAACUCUGCAAGCUUGAGAAACUUUAAUGAUAAAUAAGGAUGACACAUUGGGUUUUCAGGAGUUUGUGAGACAUUUGGCUACUCCUCGAGCUCUGCAUGUUUUCCCAACGCCAAGCAUUGUCCACCCGAAAAAGGAGCUGAUAACUUAAGGCUGUGAAAAAGCUCAGCUGUAAUUCUGACAUCCUGGUGGUCAGGGUGUGGGCAAAUGUAAUUUAUUUCAGUGGGAUAAAAAUGGUGGUCGUGAAACUGUGUUCUAACAUGGUGCGCUGUUUCAAAAAUGGAAUGAAACUGGAUGAGCAGGGGGUUCAGCGCCAAAAUAGCACCUGGCUAAGGAUAAGCUUUCUUUUUAAAAUGCA
Molecule: long non-coding RNA, 5349 nt
Organism: Aquila chrysaetos chrysaetos
Lineage: Eukaryota; Metazoa; Chordata; Aves; Accipitriformes; Accipitridae
Exons: 4
Source: RefSeq, a predicted model, not a curated record